RNAcentral lists this ribosomal RNA (728 nucleotides) under Pseudomonas frederiksbergensis. RNAcentral's name for it is "bacterial SSU rRNA". It matches the Rfam family "Bacterial small subunit ribosomal RNA", at positions 57 to 778 of the family's 1533-position model. The record is from RNAcentral. Lineage: Bacteria; Pseudomonadati; Pseudomonadota; Gammaproteobacteria; Pseudomonadales; Pseudomonadaceae.
GCAAGUCGAGCGGCAGCACGGGUACUUGUACCUGGUGGCGAGCGGCGGACGGGUGAGUAAUGCCUAGGAAUCUGCCUGGUAGUGGGGGAUAACGCUCGGAAACGGACGCUAAUACCGCAUACGUCCUACGGGAGAAAGCAGGGGACCUUCGGGCCUUGCGCUAUCAGAUGAGCCUAGGUCGGAUUAGCUAGUUGGUGGGGUAAUGGCUCACCAAGGCGACGAUCCGUAACUGGUCUGAGAGGAUGAUCAGUCACACUGGAACUGAGACACGGUCCAGACUCCUACGGGAGGCAGCAGUGGGGAAUAUUGGACAAUGGGCGAAAGCCUGAUCCAGCCAUGCCGCGUGUGUGAAGAAGGUCUUCGGAUUGUAAAGCACUUUAAGUUGGGAGGAAGGGCAGUUACCUAAUACGUAAUUGUUUUGACGUUACCGACAGAAUAAGCACCGGCUAACUCUGUGCCAGCAGCCGCGGUAAUACAGAGGGUGCAAGCGUUAAUCGGAAUUACUGGGCGUAAAGCGCGCGUAGGUGGUUCGUUAAGUUGGAUGUGAAAGCCCCGGGCUCAACCUGGGAACUGCAUUCAAAACUGUCGAGCUAGAGUACGGUAGAGGGUGGUGGAAUUUCCUGUGUAGCGGUGAAAUGCGUAGAUAUAGGAAGGAACACCAGUGGCGAAGGCGACCACCUGGACUGAUACUGACACUGAGGUGCGAAAGCGUGGGGAGCAAACAGGAU